GGCGACGUAGCCAAGUGGUCAGGCAAUGGUUUGCAAAACCAUCAUACGCCGGUUCGAAUCCGGCCGUCGCCUCCA
RNAcentral lists this transfer RNA (75 nucleotides) under Pseudomonadota bacterium. RNAcentral describes it as "tRNA-Cys". It matches the Rfam family "tRNA". Rfam says of the family: Transfer RNA (tRNA) molecules are approximately 80 nucleotides in length. Their secondary structure includes four short double-helical elements and three loops (D, anti-codon, and T loops). The record is from RNAcentral. Lineage: Bacteria; Pseudomonadati; Pseudomonadota.